GCUGGGCGUGGUGGCACACGCCUGUAGUCCCAGCUACUCAGGAGGCUGAGGCAGAAGAAUCACUUGAGCCUGGGAGGUGGAGGUUGUAGUGAGCCAAGAUCACGCCACUGCACUCCCGCCUGGCAACAGAGUGAGACUCUGCCUCAA
Pongo abelii (Sumatran orangutan) is the source of this 147-nucleotide unclassified non-coding RNA. It matches the Rfam family "Metazoan signal recognition particle RNA". From Rfam's summary of the family: The signal recognition particle (SRP) is a universally conserved ribonucleoprotein. It is involved in the co-translational targeting of proteins to membranes. The record is from Ensembl. NCBI's taxonomy places the organism in Eukaryota, Metazoa, Chordata, Mammalia, Primates, Hominidae.